RNAcentral lists this ribosomal RNA (484 nucleotides) under uncultured bacterium. Its description in RNAcentral is "partial 16S ribosomal RNA". It matches the Rfam family "Bacterial small subunit ribosomal RNA", at positions 30 to 507 of the family's 1533-position model. The record is from RNAcentral.
AUUGAACGCUGGCGGCAGGCCUAACACAUGCAAGUCGAGCGGAUGAAGGGAGCUUGCUCCUGGAUUCAGCGGCGGACGGGUGAGUAAUGCCUGGGAAUCUGCCUGGUAGUGGGGGAUAACGUCCGGAAACGGGCGCUAAUACCGCAUACGUCCUGAGGGAGAAAGUGGGGGAUCUUCGGACCUCACGCUAUCAGAUGAGCCUAGGUCGGAUUAGCUAGUUGGUGGGGUAAAGGCCUACCAAGGCGACGAUCCAUAACUGGUCUGAGAGGAUGAUCAGUCACACUGGAACUGAGACACGGUCCAGACUCCUACGGGAGGCAGCAGUGGGGAAUAUUGGACAAUGGGCGAAAGCCUGAUCCAGCCAUGCCGCGUGUGUGAAGAAGGUCUUCGGAUUGUAAAGCACUUUAAGUUGGGAGGAAGGGCAGUAAGUUAAUACCUUGCUGUUUUGACGUUACCAACAGAAUAAGCACCGGCUAACUUCGUG